AGUAGGUCCAUCAAAACCAUAAUGAUGGUUGCCCUUGUCUUGAGGAAGACCAAGCAAUACACAAUAGAGCCAUCAUCAGAAACAUAUCUGAGUUCUAGGGGUUGAAUCCUCCAUCAUUUAAGGGUGAUCCAGAUUCGAUGGUUGCUGAGAGCUGGAUAAUGCAAAUAGAGAAGAUAUUCUUUAUUUUAGAAAUCAAUUGCUUGUAGCUAGAUUCAGAUAAGCCAAUAGUUCCAAGUUUCUUUAUCAUCUGAAGAGGAAACAACCAGUAUAGCUUGGUCAGGGUCAUGUUGAUAAGCGACCCUGGGUCAAUCCUAUUGCACCACCAAUAGGUAGUGUUCUUAUCCUAAUCCUAGGUGCAAACAAUGUUAGAAGAGGCAUGGUAAUCGUCCUUCUUAUAACCAAUGACUGUUUCAAGUGUGGGAGCACAGAUCACUUCGUGAG
This 441-nucleotide long non-coding RNA is filed under the name Carica papaya (papaya). Its description in RNAcentral is "long non-coding RNA (CPAP_LNC015317)". Lineage: Eukaryota; Viridiplantae; Streptophyta; Magnoliopsida; Brassicales; Caricaceae. The record is from RNAcentral.